Molecule: unclassified non-coding RNA, 424 nt
Filed under: Hevea brasiliensis (rubber tree)
Lineage: Eukaryota; Viridiplantae; Streptophyta; Magnoliopsida; Malpighiales; Euphorbiaceae
Source: RNAcentral
GGAAAACAGGUGAGGAGUGCAAUCAGGUUAAAAAACACUAGCAGGUCUCAUGUAGCUUUCAAGUUUCAAACAACAGCACCGAAGAGCUGUUUCAUGCGUCCUCCAGGUGGCAUCCUUGCUCCAGGAGAGAGCCUCAUUGCAACUGUGUUCAAGUUUGUUGAGCAUCCAGAGAACAAUGAGAAAGUAUUAGACCAGAAAAGCAAGGUCAAGUUUAAGAUCAUGAGUUUGAAGGUGAAAGGAGGAAUAGAAUAUGCACCUGAGUUGUUUGAUGAACAGAAGGAUCAGGUAACAGUUGAGCAAAUAUUGCGGGUUGUAUUUUUGGAUGCAGAGCAUCCUAGUCCUGCAUUGGAAAAAUUGAAGCGUCAGUUAGCUGAAGCUGAGGCUGCUUUUGAAGAUCGUAAGAAACCUCCACCUGACACUGGGC